Molecule: non-coding RNA, 114 nt
Organism: Pelobates cultripes (western spadefoot toad)
Lineage: Eukaryota; Metazoa; Chordata; Amphibia; Anura; Pelobatidae
Source: the annotation of a GenBank genome assembly
GUUGGGUAUGGAGAUAUUUACCCAAAAACUCUUCUAGGUAAGAUAGUUGGAGGUUUGUGUUGUAUUGCUGGAGUAUUGGUAAUAGCUCUUCCCAUUCCUAUUAUAGUAAACAAU